RNAcentral lists this transfer RNA (83 nucleotides) under Duganella sp. HH101. RNAcentral's name for it is "tRNA-Val". The record is from RNAcentral. Lineage: Bacteria; Pseudomonadati; Pseudomonadota; Betaproteobacteria; Burkholderiales; Oxalobacteraceae. RNAcentral also lists the same sequence under 1 other name.
CAUCGCUGUUUGGCUGUUGGCCGGCAAGUCCUGGCGGCUGACGGCCGCCUGGUGCGCGCUGUUCGGCGUCGGCAUGGCGCUGG